RNAcentral lists this ribosomal RNA (513 nucleotides) under uncultured bacterium. RNAcentral describes it as "partial 16S ribosomal RNA". It matches the Rfam family "Bacterial small subunit ribosomal RNA", at positions 355 to 884 of the family's 1533-position model. The record is from RNAcentral.
UGGGGAAUAUUGGACAAUGGGGGCAACCCUGAUCCAGCAAUGCCGCGUGUGUGAAGAAGGUUUUCGGAUUGUAAAGCACUUUCGGCGGGGACGAUGAUGACGGUACCCGCAGAAGAAGGCCCCGGCUAACUUCGUGCCAGCAGCCGCGGUAAUACGAAGGGGGCUAGCGUUGCUCGGAAUGACUGGGCGUAAAGGGCGUGUAGGCGGUUUGUACAGUCAGAUGUGAAAUCCCCGGGCUUAACCUGGGAGCUGCAUUUGAUACGUGCAGACUAGAGUGUGAGAGAGGUUGUGGAAUUCCCAGUGUAGAGGUGAAAUUCGUAGAUAUUGGGAAGAACACCGGUGGCGAAGGCGGCAACCUGGCUCAUGACUGACGCUGAGGCGCGAAAGCGUGGGGAGCAAACAGGAUUAGAUACCCUGGUAGUCCACGCUGUAAACGAUGUGUGCUGGAUGUUGGGCCAACUUAGUUGUUCAGUGUCGUAGCUAACGCGAUAAGCACACCGCCUGGGGAGUACG